GACAGCGUAGCUCAGUUGGUAGAGCAUUGGGCUAGUAUUCCAAAGGUCGUAGGUUCGAUUCCCACCGUUCG
Molecule: transfer RNA, 71 nt
Filed under: Paramuricea clavata
Lineage: Eukaryota; Metazoa; Cnidaria; Anthozoa; Malacalcyonacea; Plexauridae
Rfam family: tRNA
About the family: Transfer RNA (tRNA) molecules are approximately 80 nucleotides in length. Their secondary structure includes four short double-helical elements and three loops (D, anti-codon, and T loops). Further hydrogen bonds mediate the characteristic L-shaped molecular structure. tRNAs have two regions of fundamental functional importance: the anti-codon, which is responsible for specific mRNA codon recognition, and the 3' end, to which the tRNAs corresponding amino acid is attached (by aminoacyl-tRNA synthetases). tRNAs cope with the degeneracy of the genetic code in two manners: having more than one tRNA (with a specific anti-codon) for a particular amino acid; and 'wobble' base-pairing, i.e. permitting non-standard base-pairing at the 3rd anti-codon position.
Source: Rfam by way of RNAcentral